This 499-nucleotide ribosomal RNA is filed under the name Enterobacter sp. K9. Its description in RNAcentral is "bacterial SSU rRNA". It matches the Rfam family "Bacterial small subunit ribosomal RNA", at positions 776 to 1274 of the family's 1533-position model. Lineage: Bacteria; Pseudomonadati; Pseudomonadota; Gammaproteobacteria; Enterobacterales; Enterobacteriaceae. The record is from RNAcentral.
GAUUAGAUACCCUGGUAGUCCACGCUGUAAACGAUGUCGACUUGGAGGUUGUUCCCUUGAGGAGUGGCUUCCGGAGCUAACGCGUUAAGUCGACCGCCUGGGGAGUACGGCCGCAAGGUUAUAAACUCAAAUGAAUUGACGGGGGCCCGCACAAGCGGUGGAGCAUGUGGUUUAAUUCGAUGCAACGCGAAGAACCUUACCUACUCUUGACAUCCAGAGAACUUAGCAGAGAUGCUUUGGUGCCUUCGGGAACUCUGAGACAGGUGCUGCAUGGCUGUCGUCAGCUCGUGUUGUGAAAUGUUGGGUUAAGUCCCGCAACGAGCGCAACCCUUAUCCUUUGUUGCCAGCGNUCCGGCCGGGAACUCAAAGGAGACUGCCAGUGAUAAACUGGAGGAAGGUGGGGAUGACGUCAAGUCAUCAUGGCCCUUACGAGUAGGGCUACACACGUGCUACAAUGGCAUAUACAAAGAGAAGCGACCUCGCGAGAGCAAGCGGACCU